This is a long non-coding RNA of Oncorhynchus tshawytscha (Chinook salmon), 2268 nucleotides long. NCBI's taxonomy places the organism in Eukaryota, Metazoa, Chordata, Actinopteri, Salmoniformes, Salmonidae. The record is from Ensembl.
GGGUUAAUUAGGGCUGGUUGGUGGGUAUUGGGUUAGUUAGGGCUGGUUGGUGGGUAUUGGGUUAAUUAGGGUUGGUUGGUGGAUAUUGGGUUAAUUAGGGUUGGUUGGUGGAUAUUGUGUUAGUUAGGGUUGGUUGGUGGGUAUUGGGUUAAUUAGGGCUGGUUGGUGGAUAUUGGGUUAGUUAGGGCUGGUUGGUGGGUAUUGGGUUAGUUAGGGCUGGUUGGUGGAUAUUGGGCUAGUUAGGGCUGGUUGGUGGGUAUUGACUUAAUUAGGGCUGUUUGGUGGGUAUCGGGUUAAUUAGGGCUGGUUGGUGGGUAUCGGGUUAAUUAGGGCUGGUUGGUGGGUAUUGCGUUAGUUAGGGCUGGUUGGUGGGUAUUGCGUUAGUUUGGGCUGGUUGGUGGGUAUUGCGUUAGUUAGGGCUGGUUGGUGGGUAUUGGGUUAAUUAGGGCUGGUUGGUGGGUAUCGGGUUAAUUGGUUAAGGAGGAAUGGUAGUGGGUAUUGGGUUAGUUAGGGCUGGUUGGUGGGUAUUGCGUUAGUUAGGGCUGGAGGAAUGGUAGUGGGUAUUGGGUUAGUUAGGGCUGGUUGGUGGGUAUUGGGUUAAUUAGGGCUGGUUGGUGGGUAUUGGUUAAGGAGGAAUGGUAGUGGGUAUUGCGUUAGUUAGGGCUGGUUGGUGGGUAUUGGUUAAGGAGGAAUGGUAGUGGGUAUUGCGUUAGUUAGGGCUGGUUGGUGGGUAUUGGUUAAGGAGGAAUGGUAGUGGUGGUACUACUGGUAUAGCACUUUGGGUCAGAAUGUGGUUGCAACCUUCCAGGAUCCUCCAACCAGGAGUUCUAGAAUGUAUACAACCUUCCAGGAUCCUCCAACCAGGAGUUCUAGAAUGUAUACAACCUUCCAGGAUCCUCCAACCAGGAGUUCUAGAAUGUAUACAACCUUCCUGGAAUGUUGCAACCCCACAUCAGAAUGAUGUGGAAAUGUACAUCAAUAGCCAAAUGAGUAACAAGAGAAAGUAGUAUUGAAUAGGUACUAUUAGACAGAGAGCAUUACUUUACAGCCAUCUCUUUAUAGUCUUUGCACUCUAAGAUGCUUGGUGAUGGAUCGGUGCUUGAUUGGCUCACAAUCAAUAUAUUUACUGUAUCUUAAAGAGUUUUCAGUGCUGUGUUGCUAUUAGAGAGAGAUAAGCAUCCAUAGUAUCAGAUCUGAAGGAUUGUGGGUUAUGGAACUUGGUAUUUAAUUGUGUGAGUAUGUUUAUGUUUUUCAUGAAAAAGCACUUACUGGCCAACCCUGUUAAUUGAUCAAAUGCUUUGAAUCUGUGUGAUCAUGUCUAACAUGAUAAUGGAUAUGUUACACUCGAAGGAAAGAGAAGGGACAUUUAAAAGGUCCCUGUUUAGUUAACAUGUCCUUAAACCAGGGUAUGUUGGAGCUGAUGAGUUGGUUCUCAGAAGUGUGAUUGUUUGCGUUUUGCGUUCAUUAUAAAAAAUAAAAAAUGUUUGUCAAAAAGUGAAACCAGGCAGGUCCCGCCGGCCAGCUAGGUUAGGGCCGGGACGUUGAGUGUUUUUUGUAAAGCCUGUUGGGAUUUGUAGUUCUUGGGAUAAGCUAAAAGAUAGAGCCUGUAGUCCAGUAGGGUUGAUUCUGUGGCCUUCAGCUGGAAGAAAAGUGGUUUGAAUUUCGACCUCUGAGGAAUUGACUUUUCUAUGUUCCUUCUGGCUGGUGAGAAGACCGUGUGUAUAUUAAGGCUUAUGGAGACAGAGUUAAUGUUUUCACAAUGGAGGGUCAUUGUUUCCUUAUGGUCUGUUCUAGUGUUAAAUCUAAUGUUUCAAAUUAAGAGAGGUUGGUAGUUCUGCACAUGUGAGGUUGGGUUAGUGGGUCUAGUAAACGUCCAGUUCCAAGGAAAAGAAAGGCCUACAUUUACCAUAAUAGAAAUCAACAAUGUAAUACCCGAAUCAAAGUUGGAAAAGCAUCUCUCUCCUCGAACACUUUAAAGGUUUUCAUGUACCUAACUACCGCUUCCUACUGCUGCAUUAAAACCAGUCAUAUUGUGUCUACCAUUCGUUGAUUCUAUACAUUACAGUGUAAACCCAAUGUCUUAGUAGACUGGUCUACAUAGACCAUGACUAUACAGUAGUUGUAUGGGCUAGCUAUAUAAACACCGUACUUAAACAAUGAGCACUAUAGUGUCUAGAGGUGCUAUUAACAUUACAUGUAUCCUAUCGGUUCGUGUUUAUCAUGUGUAACACAGGAGACUAAUUCAAUAUUAAACCAUAUAGAUAUAUU